Molecule: long non-coding RNA, 567 nt
Filed under: Rattus norvegicus (Norway rat)
Lineage: Eukaryota; Metazoa; Chordata; Mammalia; Rodentia; Muridae
Description: long non-coding RNA NONRATT011218
Source: RNAcentral
UGUAACAAAGUUUAUAAGAAAUUAUUUAUUCACAGUUUUGCGUUGAACAGGAUAUGUAAUUGAAGAAGGGGAAGUUUUAAUGUCUGUAUACUUAUGUCUAUUUUUUUCUUUCAUAGGAAGGUAUGGACUCCCAUGCUUUUGUGAUGUGUGUAUGUAUUCUCCAACAUGUGUGAUGUUAGUGCGCGGGAUAAUAUUCCGGGGUUGGUAGAUUACCCUGCCAUACUUUAGGCAACCUAACAUCCUGGUCUCUGUUCUGUCCAGUGUUCAGAGGGCUAUCUGUGUGCAGACACUGUGUUUCCAUGUUUUUAGCUGUAAAGUGGGUUUCCAUCUCACACGAUGUAAUUACAGACAUUACUCUAUCCAGAAAAUGCAAAAAUGUAAAUUCUCUUUCAAAAGAAGUCAUAGCUCUGGAUUGUGUGGUGUUCUUACAAACUGGGUUUGUUUUUUCCUUGUCACAUUAGAUCGUAACAAUUUGUUUAGUUAGUUUGUUCUUUAUAUACUGUUGACCUCAUAAUUUAUGCAAUCUCUGUAAUUUCUUAAUGCAGUAAAAUUAUCACACAAACUGGC